GCCGGGGUGGCGGAAUUGGCAGACGCAAGGGACUUAAAAUCCCUCGCUUCGCAAGAAGCAUGCCGGUUCGAGCCCGGCCCCCGGCA
Molecule: transfer RNA, 86 nt
Filed under: Candidatus Latescibacterota bacterium
Lineage: Bacteria; Pseudomonadati; Candidatus Latescibacterota
Description: tRNA-Leu
Rfam family: tRNA
About the family: Transfer RNA (tRNA) molecules are approximately 80 nucleotides in length.
Source: RNAcentral